This 585-nucleotide ribosomal RNA is filed under the name Lactobacillus sp. AF26(2010). Its description in RNAcentral is "bacterial SSU rRNA". It matches the Rfam family "Bacterial small subunit ribosomal RNA", at positions 41 to 586 of the family's 1533-position model. The record is from RNAcentral. Lineage: Bacteria; Bacillati; Bacillota; Bacilli; Lactobacillales; Lactobacillaceae.
GGGGUGCUAAUACAUGCAAGUCGAACGCACUCUCGUUUAGAUUGAAGGAGCUUGCUCCUGAUUGAUAAACAUUUGAGUGAGUGGCGGACGGGUGAGUAACACGUGGGUAACCUGCCCUAAAGUGGGGGAUAACAUUUGGAAACAGAUGCUAAUACCGCAUAAAACCUAACACCGCAUGGUGUAGGGUUGAAAGAUGGUUUCGGCUAUCACUUUAGGAUGGACCCGCGGUGCAUUAGUUAGUUGGUGAGGUAAAGGCUCACCAAGACCGUGAUGCAUAGCCGACCUGAGAGGGUAAUCGGCCACACUGGGACUGAGACACGGCCCAGACUCCUACGGGAGGCAGCAGUAGGGAAUCUUCCACAAUGGACGAAAGUCUGAUGGAGCAACGCCGCGUGAGUGAAGAAGGUUUUCGGAUCGUAAAACUCUGUUGUUGGAGAAGAAUGUAUCUGAUAGUAACUGAUCAGGUAGUGACGGUAUCCAACCAGAAAGCCACGGCUAACUACGUGCCAGCAGCCGCGGUAAUACGUAGGUGGCAAGCGUUGUCCGGAUUUAUUGGGCGUAAAGCGAGCGCAGGCGGUUUCUUAA